GGGCGAUUAGUUAAGUGGUAUAACUGCGGCCUCCAAAUCUGCUAUCCGAGGUUCGAUUCCUCGAUCGCCCG
Molecule: transfer RNA, 71 nt
Filed under: bacterium
Lineage: Bacteria
Description: tRNA-Trp
Rfam family: tRNA
About the family: Transfer RNA (tRNA) molecules are approximately 80 nucleotides in length.
Source: RNAcentral